GGUCCGGUAGCUCAGCUGGAUAGAGCAACAGCCUUCUAAGCUGUGGGUCGAGGGUUCGAAUCCCUCCCGGAUCA
Molecule: transfer RNA, 74 nt
Filed under: Bacteroidota bacterium
Lineage: Bacteria; Pseudomonadati; Bacteroidota
Description: tRNA-Arg
Rfam family: tRNA
About the family: Transfer RNA (tRNA) molecules are approximately 80 nucleotides in length. Their secondary structure includes four short double-helical elements and three loops (D, anti-codon, and T loops). Further hydrogen bonds mediate the characteristic L-shaped molecular structure. tRNAs have two regions of fundamental functional importance: the anti-codon, which is responsible for specific mRNA codon recognition, and the 3' end, to which the tRNAs corresponding amino acid is attached (by aminoacyl-tRNA synthetases). tRNAs cope with the degeneracy of the genetic code in two manners: having more than one tRNA (with a specific anti-codon) for a particular amino acid; and 'wobble' base-pairing, i.e. permitting non-standard base-pairing at the 3rd anti-codon position.
Source: RNAcentral